AUAUGUAUAUAUACAAUUCUGCUCCCUUUGGAUACCCUAAAUUGGACACGUCUGACCUAUUAAACACUGCUUUAUGUUAAGUACUAAGAAGAUAAAAUGACAUAGACCCUGUUGUAAUGGAAUUUAUAAUUCAGUUUAUAGGGGAAACAAAUAACCCUUUUCCUCUACCCUUUUAGGUUCACUGGAGCACUGCAAAUUAGACUGACAAAAGACAGAUUAUCAGGAGAGAAGGCAUACAAAGAAGCUAAUAGGCCGAAAAGCUUAUAUACCAUUUCAAACAAAGAAAGAUAAACUGUGGAGAUUUGACAGAAAGAAAAAAGGGUUUGGGGCUUUCAAGAGCAGUCCACUACGGGAAGAUCUCGCUCCGGACAAGUAAACACCAAUACCACCAACCUGAGUAGGCCUUCCAUGAAAUACUGGGGACACUAAGAAGCCACACCCCCUGAAACAUUCUAUGGUCAUUCAGCAUUUGAAGCAAAUUGGAAAGGUGAAAAACCUGAUAAGUGGGUGCCUCAUGAGCUCACCGAAAAUUGUUUUAAAAAUUGUCGUUUUGAAGUGUCAUCUUCUCUUAUUCUAUGCAACAACAAUGAACCAUUUCUUGAUUGGAUUGUGAUGUGCGAGGAAAAGUGGAUUUUAUAUGACAACUGGCGAUGACCACCUCAGUGGUUGGACCGAGAAGAAGCUCCAAAACACUUCCCAAAGCCAAACUUGCACCAAAAAAGGUCCUGGUCACUGCUUGGUGGGCUGCUGCUGGUCUGAUCCACUGCAGCUUUCUGAAUCCCUGGGAAACCAUUACACCUGAGAAGUAUGCUCAGCAAACCAAUGAGAUGCACCGAAAACUGCAAUGCCUGCAGCUGGCUUUGGUCAACAGGAAGAGCCCAAUUCUUCUCCACCACAAUGUCCGACUGCACAUCACAACCCACGCUUCAGAAGUUGAACAAAUUGGGCUACGAAGUUUUGCCUCAUCUCCCAUAUUCACCUGACCUCUCGCUGAGAAGUAGCUUUGGAGCUUCUUCUCGGUCCAAACACUGAGCUGGUCAUCGCCGGUUGUCAUAUAAAAUCCACUUUUCCUCGCACAUCACAAUCCAAUCAAGAAAUGGUUCAUUGUUGUUGCACAGAAUAAGAGAAGAUGACACUUCAAAACUACCACUUCUUCAAGCAUCUCGACAACUUUUUGCAGGGAAAAUGCUUCCACAACCAGCAGGAUGCAGAAAAUGCUCUCCAAAACUUUGUCAAAUCCUGAAGCAUGGAUUUUUAGGCUACAGGAAUAAACUUAUUUCUCACUGGCAGAAAUUUAUUUAUUGUAAUGAUUCCUUUUUUGGUUAAAGACAUGUUUGAGCCUAGUUAUAACGACUUACAAUUCACGGUCCAAAACUGUAAGUACUUUUUGCACCAGCGAGAUGUGCGUAUGAGAAGCUUAUUUCACCAAGCCUCUUAUCUAGUCAUCUGUAUAAUUAUUUCAAGCACAGGAGGGAUCCUACUUCUUACUGGGGAGGAUUAAGGAAGGCUUCCUGGAGGAUUGUCUCAGAGCUUGCUGCAGGUACAUAUUGAAAAGCAAUUCAUUACAAUUUUCUGUAAGAGACUGUGGCUGAACAAUGAUACACAGAUCAGCAAACUGAGGCUUGGAGAAGUGGAAAACUUGCCUAAGAUUAAACAGCAUUAAAGGAACAGAGGCUGGGCUUGCAACUCAGCUCUGGGACUCCAAAGUCUGCCCUUUCCAACUACAUCAUCUUGCUGAUCGCGAGCUCAGUUGAUGGUAAAGACCUGUGAUUUUGGCCAUUACAAACAGUGCUGUUGUGAAUGUUGUGCCUGCCUGUCUUCCAGCUGGACAUAGGUAGGUGUUUCUGUUGGGUGGUAUGCAGAAGUGAAAAUGCUGGGUCAUGAUAUAUGCACAUGCAGCUUUGGAAGAUAGUGCCAAAUAGUUUUUCAAAGUGUAUGAGAGUUUCAGUUCCUCCCCAUCCUCGCCCACACUUGGUAUUUUCUGCAUUUUUAUUGUAGCCAUACUGGUGGGUGUGUGGUGGUAUCUCACUGUGGUUUGAAUUUGAAUUUCAUUUUGAGUGGCUCUGUGGCAGCCCAGGAAUGAAGCUAGGGCAUCAGAUAAAAGAUGUUACCGCAGACAUAUGUCUGUUCUCGCUUUUGAGAGAUGCGGCUAUAUUAGUCUGUUCUCAUGCUGCUAAUAAAGACAUAACUGAGACUGGGUAAUUUAUAAAGGAGAGAGGUUUAAUGGACUCACAGUUCCACAUGGCUGGGGAGGUCUCACAAUCAUGGCAGAAGAUGGAGGAAGGAAGAGCAAAGGGACAUCUUACAUGGCAGCAGGCAAGAGAGCGUGUACAGGGGAACUGCCCUUUAUAAAACCAUCAGAGGCUUAUUCACUAUCAUGAGAACAGCACAGGAAAACCCCGCCCCCAUGAUUUAGUUACCUCCCAUUUGGUCCCUCCCAUGACACGUGGGAAUUAUGGGAGCUACAAUUCAAGAUGAGAUUUGGGUGGGAACACAGCCAAACCAUAUCAGCAGCCUUUCUCCCCACUUUAGAGAUAUCUUAUUUGUAGAGGCUAGCUUGAAAAUCCAGAGUCUUUUAAGUCAGCCUACAUUCUCAGAAAACAUGCUAUUGUUACUAGGCCUGGACACAUCAUGAAGUAUCAUGCAAGUGCCUUUGCCUGAUGGAUACACUCAUUUUCUCUUCUAUCUACAAACAAUAGUGGAGUCCUAUAUAUGCCAGGCGCUUUUCUAGGUGUUGAGAGUACAGCAGGAAACCAAACAGAAGGUAGACUCUUCGAAGCUAACAUUCUAGGGGAGAGAGACAAUCAACAAUACAAUGAGGAGAAAUAGAUGGUCAGACAGUGACUGGCACUGUGGAGAAAAAUAAGGCAAGAAAGGUUGAGGAUCUCCAGGCACAGCUUUCAAUAGAGUGGUCAAGGAUGGCCUCACUGACAAGGUGACAUUGGAACAAAAGCCUUAAGCUUCCAUGGGAACAAGCUAUGUGGGUAUGUGGGGAGGAACAUUCUGGAGGAAAAACCAUGUGCAAAUGUCCUAAAGUGGGAGCAUGUUUGAGGAACAGCAAAGAGACCAUUGUGGUUGGAACCAAGUGAGCAAGAGAUGAUGUGGUGCAGAAAAGGAGAAGGUUGUGCUGGGCCUGACAGGCAACCCAAGGACUCUCAGCUCUGAGUGAAACAUCCUCAGUGGUGCUCCAGUAUCACCUUCAUGGAGCGUCCCAGUAUCAAAUCUUCCUAUCAACUGAGACGAGUUGGCUCUCUUUCCAUAGCUUAGGAUGUGUCAGGUUAGAAUCCCCUCUGCCCCUAAUCAAAUCUUUUCUGCUCAUUUAGAGGUCAUUUUGACUGGCGCAGCGGAAUGAGGAGGCACAAGGUAGAGUAUGAGGAUCUCACUUUUUCUGUGAUUUGGUGAACAACACGAACAACACUGGAGUUUAAAUGUUCCUAAGAUAGUACCCAGGCUGUCCCCCAACACCAAGCCUCAGCAGCACAUGGGGAUGAACAGGGCACAGCGUCAGUUAAAAUUCAGUCUGUAGGAUCCGCAUUUCUCACCUGUGUCAGAGACACCUGGAUCCCACCCUGCAGGCCCCUCUCCCCUACCAAGGGUCUGUUGGGGCAACUCCCAGAGGGAAUCCGACAUGUGCCCUUGAUUUAGGCAAAUGUAGCUGUGAACGUUCUGAAGAGGAAUAGGAAAGAAGGGGCCUUGGUAUCAGAAUAGACUGAGCAGAAGAGAAAGACCCAGAAAAAGAAAGUAAUAGUAUAUGAUAAGGGGAGCAUUAAUCAAUUAAUUGCAGUGGAAGAAUCUGGCUAAGCAUUGGGGAAAAGAGAAAAUUAUUUAGUCCAUAGCUCAUAUCAAAAUUAACUUCUGUAAAAAUAUGACAAUAAAAUAUGGGCAAUUUUUUUUUUUACAACAGAGAAGGAGAGAGACUUUCUAUAUAAACCAAAAAGUAAACCACCAUCAUCAUCAUCAACAUCUAAUACUCUGUGCUUUACUUCUAUCAAGUAAUUUAAUCCUCACAAUCACUUUGUUUGGUAACAUUAAUUUUUCUCAUUUUCUACAUGGUAAAAUUGAGGCACAGACAGGGUAAUUUUCCAAAGGCCCCAACAAGUGGCAGUGCCAGGAUUCAAAGCAAACAAGUAUGACUUCAGGGUUCCUCCUUCUAUAUUACCACAAAAGAAAAUAUUGAGAGACGUGAAUACACAAAUUAAAAGCUGUAUGAAAAAAAAUCAAGUAGAGGAAAGGACAAAUGACUGGCGGAGGAGGGGGAAUCCCACCACAUAUGUAACAGAUAAAGCAUUAAUAUCCUUUACAGAACAAUUUCUCAAAUGUUAGUGCUCAGAACACCAAUGUCCUGAACCAUGCCAAUGGGUGUUCUGGGAGGAAAAAGAAAAAAGUCCUCACCGUCAAUGAAGUUUAGGAAAUGAUGUGUUAAAUCUGACCAUGGAAGUCUUUUUUCCCCUCAGUUCACCUAUUAACAUCUCACGGGACAAUAAAACUUCUGAAAUACAGCCCAGAAGAUCUCAUCUUUGUAUGUAAUGAGUUCCUACAAAUCAGGAAGGAAAAUAUGAAAAAUCCCAAUAGAAAAAUGGACGUGAGAAAAAACAGACAGUUCAAAAAAGAAAAAAUAUAAAUAGCUGUAAGCAUACAGAAACAUAUUCAACCUUGUUAUUAACGAAGGAAAAUGAAAUACGGAGGUACCAAUUUUUAUCUUUCAAUUGGGAAAAAAGGCUUACACCCAGCAUUUGUAAGAGUAGGAGGAAAAAACCACACUCUUACAAAAUCAGUGAGAUUGACUAAACAAGUACACCUUUUCUAUGGGAGGGCAAUUUGGCACUAUGUAUCAAAGGUCUUAAAAAAUAUAUAUAACUUGAUCUAGCAAAGUUUGUUCAGAGAAACUUAUAAAGAAAUACAGUACGUCCUAGAAUAAUGUUUUUCCUGUCAUUCAACAUUAUUUUCUUGCAACAUUGACAAGAAAAAAUAUUGAUUCCCUGCCGGGGCCACUGUCUGUGUGGAGUGUGCACGUUCUCCCCAUGUCUGCAUGGGUUCUGUCCAUGCACUCCCGUUGCCUCGCACAUUCUGAAGCUGUGCAUGGUAGGUGAACUGGCUUGUCUCAAUGGCCCCAGUCUGAGUGGGUGUGGGCGGGUGUGUGAGUGCACCCUGCGAUAGGAUGACAUCCUGUCCAGAGUUAGUUCCCACCUUGCACCCUGAGCUCCCAGGACAGGCUCUGGUCACCCAAGACCCUGAACUGGAAUAACUGGGUAAAAAAUGACCUGACUUAUUUUUAUUAAUCUUUUAAAAAUGUAUGUAUAGCUCACAUUUAUUUUAAUGUUUAAUAUUACAAGUGUUUGGGGUCUUUAUUUAGAAGCUUGAUAUUUUAGUGACCAGAAAUAUGCUGUGGGAACUUAACUCUUGUUUAUAUCAGUUAGCCUUUGGUAAAAUUGGUUUCCUUAUAUGUUGUUUUGCUUAAAGUUGUUCCAGUUAAAGUCACAAUUUCCAAGAACCUAUAGGGGACAUUAAGUGAGGACCUGCUGUAAUUGGACAAGUGGGCAAGGAUGUAUGUACAGGGGAGUUCAUUGCAGCAUGAUUUGUAUUAGCAAAAACGUCUAUUAAUAUGAGUCAACGAACAUUUAUACAUUGAAGUACUGUGUACCUCUUAAAAACAGUGAUAUUGAUCUGUUGUAUUCCCAUGGAAAUAUAUCCAACGUAUAUGUAAAAAUAAUCAGAUUACCAAAUAAUUUAUAACUACCUUUGUAAGAAAAAUAAAA
This is a long non-coding RNA of Pan troglodytes (chimpanzee), 5756 nucleotides long. RefSeq lists it as uncharacterized. The record is from RefSeq and is a predicted model, not a curated record. NCBI's taxonomy places the organism in Eukaryota, Metazoa, Chordata, Mammalia, Primates, Hominidae. The transcript has 4 exons.